Regulatory RNA element from Butyricicoccus pullicaecorum 1.2, 106 nucleotides. It matches the Rfam family "TPP riboswitch aptamer (THI element)". Rfam says of the family: Vitamin B(1) in its active form thiamin pyrophosphate (TPP) is an essential coenzyme that is synthesised by coupling of pyrimidine and thiazole moieties in bacteria. The previously detected thiamin-regulatory element, thi box was extended, resulting in a new, highly conserved RNA secondary structure, the THI element, which is widely distributed in eubacteria and also occurs in some archaea. The record is from Rfam. NCBI's taxonomy places the organism in Bacteria, Bacillati, Bacillota, Clostridia, Eubacteriales, Butyricicoccaceae.
UACAUCAGACAGGGGUGCCUUGAUCGGCUGAGAUCUGCGCUGGGCGCAGGGUCCCUUAUUACCUGAUCCGGAUCAUACCGGCGUAGGGAGUCGAAGUUUUCGUGUU